Molecule: non-coding RNA, 389 nt
Organism: Nicotiana tabacum (common tobacco)
Lineage: Eukaryota; Viridiplantae; Streptophyta; Magnoliopsida; Solanales; Solanaceae
Source: RefSeq, a predicted model, not a curated record
AGAAUCAAUUGUUUGACGGGUAUAAAUUGGGCUGGGGCCUGCGUAUUAGCUCAAGGAGUUUUGAGGCAUCGAUUUUGCAGGCGAGAAGGCUACGGGUUAGGACUUCCCUCACUUCUAGUGCUAUUAGUGAGCUCCGCUUUUGUUCGUGGAGUACUCCUUUGAGUCGUCAUUAUUUAGCUAUUUCUUUGUUUACUUAGAGAACUGGCGAGGAAAUCUCAUGUCCUGAGCAGUGCGUCAGUUUAUCAGUAGAGGCUUCAUAGACACAGUCGGUGGGUUAAGAUUCAAGUGUUUUUAAUAAUAAACUUGUAAUAUUUCAGUAGUUACUACGAAUAACGUUUUGAAGUUGGUUUAUUUUGGAUAUUUAAAUUAAUUAAAAGUAUUUGGUUACA